Molecule: ribosomal RNA, 370 nt
Filed under: uncultured prokaryote
Description: bacterial SSU rRNA
Rfam family: Bacterial small subunit ribosomal RNA
Source: RNAcentral
UACGGAGGAUGCAAGCGUUAUCCGGAUUUAUUGGGUUUAAAGGGUGCGUAGGCGGAUUAAUAAGUCAGCGGUGAAAACCUUCAGCUUAACUGGAGACUUGCCAUUGAUACUGUUAGUCUUGAGUAUGGUUAAGGUAGGCGGAAUGUGUAAUGUAGCGGUGAAAUGCUUAGAUAUUACACAGAACACCAAUUGCGAAGGCAGCUUACUGAGCCAUAACUGACGCUGAUGCACGAAAGCGUGGGGAGCGAACAGGAUUAGAUACCCUGGUAGUCCACGCCGUAAACGAUGAUCACUCGCUGUUGGCGAUACACAGUCAGCGGCUAAGCAAAAGCAUUAAGUGAUCCACCUGGGGAGUACGGCCGCAAGGCUG